This 1309-nucleotide ribosomal RNA is filed under the name uncultured Eubacteriales bacterium. RNAcentral describes it as "bacterial SSU rRNA". It matches the Rfam family "Bacterial small subunit ribosomal RNA", at positions 8 to 1381 of the family's 1533-position model. The record is from RNAcentral. Lineage: Bacteria; Bacillati; Bacillota; Clostridia; Eubacteriales.
AGAGUUUGAUCCUGGCUCAGGAUGAACGCUAGCUACAGGCUUAACACAUGCAAGUCGAGGGGCAGCAUGUAUCUGGCUUGCCAGAUAUGAUGGCGACCGGCGCACGGGUGCGUAACGCGUGUUCGACCUACCCUUUACUCGGGAACAGCCCAUCGAAAGAUGGAUUAAUGCCCGAUGUUCUCCCUAUAUCGCAUGGUAUUUGGAGCAAAGAUUUAUCGGUAGAGGAUGGGAACGCGUCCGAUUAGCUGGACGGCGGGGUAACGGCCCACCGUGGCGACGAUCGGUAGGGGUUCUGAGAGGAAGGUCCCCCACACUGGAACUGAGACACGGUCCAGACUCCUACGGGAGGCAGCAGUGAGGAAUAUUGGUCAAUGGCCGGGAGGCUGAACCAGCCAAGUAGCGUGAAGGAUGACUGCCCUAUGGGUUGUAAACUUCUUUUGUACGGGAAUAACCUGGCCCACGUGUGGGUUUCUGCAUGUACCGUACGUACGAAUAAGCAUCGGCUAAUUCCGUGCCAGCAGCCGCGGUAAUACGGAAGAUGCGAGCGUUAUCCGGAUUUAUUGGGUUUAAAGGGAGCGUAGGCGGAUUGUUAAGUCAGCGGUCAAAUGUCGGUGCCCAACAUCGUCCUUCCGUUGAAACUGGCAGUCUUGAAUGCACACAGGGAAGGUGGAAUUCGUCGUGUAGCGGUGAAAUGCUUAGAUAUGACGAGGAACUCCGAUCGCGAAGGCAUCCUUCUGGAGUGCGAUUGACGCUGAGGCUCGAAAGCGCGGGUAUCAAACAGGAUUAGAUACCCUGGUAGUCCGCGCCGUAAACGAUGGAACGGUGAAACUCAAAGGAAUUGACGGGGGCCCGCACAAGCGGAGGAACAUGUGGUUUAAUUCGAUGAUACGCGAGGAACCUUACCCGGGCUUGAAUUGUGCAGGACGGAAGAGAGAGACCUCUUCCUUCUUCGGACCUGCAUGAAGGUGCUGCAUGGUUGUCGUCAGCUCGUGCCGUGAGGUGUCGGCUCAAGUGCCAUAACGAGCGCAACCCCUGCCGUCAGUUGCCAUCGGGUGAUGCCGGGCACUCUGGCGGGACUGCCGCCGCAAGGCGUGAGGAGGGUGGGGAUGACGUCAAAUCAGCACGGCCCUUACGUCCGGGGCUACACACGUGUUACAAUGGGGAGUACAGCGCGUUGCUGCCGUGCGAGCGGUGGCGGACCGAUAAAUCUCCUCUCAGUUCGGACUGGAGUCUGCAACCCGACUCCACGAAGCUGGAUUCGCUAGUAAUCGCGCAUCAGCCAUGGCGCGGUGAAUACGUUCCCGGGCCU